RNAcentral lists this ribosomal RNA (485 nucleotides) under uncultured bacterium. Its description in RNAcentral is "partial 16S ribosomal RNA". It matches the Rfam family "Bacterial small subunit ribosomal RNA", at positions 28 to 507 of the family's 1533-position model. The record is from RNAcentral.
GAUGAACGCUAGCGAUAGGCUUAACACAUGCAAGUCGAGGGGCAGCGAGGGUAGCAAUACCUGUCGGCGACCGGCGCACGGGUGAGUAACGCGUAUGUAACCUGCCCGCAACAGGGGGAUAACCCGGCGAAAGUCGGACUAAUACCGCAUAAAACAGGGGUCCCGCAUGGGAAUAUUUGUUAAAGAUUUAUCGGUUGCGGAUGGGCAUGCGUACCAUUAGGUAGUUGGUGAGGUAACGGCUCACCAAGCCUUCGAUGGUUAGGGGUUCUGAGAGGAAGGUCCCCCAAACUGGUACUGAGACACGGACCAGACUCCUACGGGAGGCAGCAGUGAGGAAUAUUGGUCAAUGGGCGAGAGCCUGAACCAGCCAAGUCGCGUGAAGGAUGACUGCCCUAUGGGUUGUAAACUUCUUUUACAAGGGAAUAAAAUGAGAUACGUGUAUUUUAUUGCAAGUACCUUGGGAAUAAGCAUCGGCUAACUCCGUG